Molecule: unclassified non-coding RNA, 345 nt
Filed under: soil metagenome
Description: partial contains 5.8S ribosomal RNA, internal transcribed spacer 2, and large subunit ribosomal RNA
Rfam family: 5.8S ribosomal RNA (bases 1-120)
Source: RNAcentral
GAUGAAGAACGUAGCGAAAUGCGAUACGUAAUGUGAAUUGCAGAAUUCAGUGAAUCAUCGAGUCUUUGAACGCACAUUGCGCCCCCUGGUAUUCCGGGGGGCAUGCCUGUCCGAGCGUCAUUGCUGCCCUCAAGCACGGCUUGUGUGUUGGGCCUCCGUCCUCCUCCCGGGGGACGGGCCCGAAAGGCAGCGGCGGCACCGCGUCCGGUCCUCGAGCGUAUGGGGCUUCGUCACCCGCUCUUGUAGGCCCGGCCGGCGCUCGCCGACACAUCAAUCUUUUUUCCAGGUUGACCUCGGAUCAGGUAGGGAUACCCGCUGAACUUAAGCAUAUCAAUAAGCGGAGGA